CAAAGGCUUGGUCCUGGCCUUGCUAACAGCUCUAGCCAA
This 39-nucleotide ribosomal RNA is filed under the name Lagocephalus sceleratus (silver-cheeked toadfish). Its description in RNAcentral is "partial 12S ribosomal RNA". The record is from RNAcentral. Lineage: Eukaryota; Metazoa; Chordata; Actinopteri; Tetraodontiformes; Tetraodontidae.